This 256-nucleotide ribosomal RNA is filed under the name uncultured bacterium. RNAcentral describes it as "partial 16S ribosomal RNA". It matches the Rfam family "Bacterial small subunit ribosomal RNA", at positions 524 to 777 of the family's 1533-position model. The record is from RNAcentral.
UACGUAGGUGGCAAGCGUUGUCCGGAUUUACUGGGCGUAAAGAGCGCGCAGGCGGUCGUUCAAGUCGCGUGUGAAAGCCCCCCGGCUCAACUGGGGAGGGUCACGCGAUACUGAUCGACUCGAAGGCAGGAGAGGGUAGUGGAAUUCCCGGUGUAGUGGUGAAAUGCGUAGAUAUCGAGAGGAACACCUGCGGCGAAGGCGGGUUGCUGGGCUGACACUGACGCUGAACUGCGAAAGCUAGGGGGAGCGAACGGGG